CCAAAAUUCAAAGGAAGGACCAUGUAGGAUUGGAGCAAGGAAGCAUCCUACUAUCUUGAUAAAGGGGUUCCGAUACAGGCUUCCCGGGUUUCACAGUAAGUGGAACUGAAAGAUUCAUAAAAUACAAAAUUAAAAUUAAAAAUAAUAAACCAAAACAGAUUGAAUCAAAUGUGAAAUUCAGUCAUGUUUUACCAAUCAGACUAUUUAGUUAGCAUUUAACAUCAAAUAGAGUUUAAUAUGUAUUCAAACAUCAAUGAUUCUCUUUAGACUAUUUGCAAAAAGGAACACCUUUAGACAACCAACUAGAUUCCAAAAUAUACAUAAAAAAAACGAACAGAAUCCAUAAACAAAUUAAUGAUGCCAUCCACAGAAAAGAAGAAAGAUUGACAACAAACUCAAGCUUAACACAGUUUAGACAACCAAGCACAGACAAUGCAAAAAUAUACUCCCUCCACACCAAAAUAUUUUAUCUAUAUUAACUUUUUAAAAAUUAAUUUUUAAAUAUAGAAUUUAUAUGAUUCAUUUAAAUUUUAAAAAAAAAUUCAUAAUUAGUAAUACUUUUUAGAUAAUUAUAAUAUUCAUAAUUAUAUUAACAAAAUUAAAUGGACCCAUUCAAAUUUUGAAUUUCAAAAGGUUCAGACACACUUUUUAAAAAGUCAAUAGUGAAUUAGUGAUACUAUAAUUUGGAACAAGAGUCAUAAUUGAAACAAACACAAUUUGUUAAACUUAAACAUACACUGUAUCAAAAGUUUCUCUCGUAAAGUAGGCACGAAAAACAAAAAGAAUUAGAAAAAUUAGCUCCAAGAUGACAAGAUGAGAAGGCCUAGAGUUCUGAUACCGACAUGUAGAUGAAGAUCAGAGCAGCAGCUGUGUUAAGGAAUAACAGAAGAAGACUGAGCCGCCGCUGAAGGAGUCGUCGCCUCACCAGAAGGCCCGAGAUUCCAGCUAGGCAGUGGCUGCCCCCCUGGCCCUCCACUAGUUCAACCUGAACCGCCGCUGCUAUCAGGGUCAGAUGCCCGCCCUCGCCCUCGCCCUCGCCCUCGCCCUCUAUCCCCUAGUCCCUAGUUCCGCCUCUGUAUAUUAUACGUUCAUCGAUUGAUAGCCCUCGCCCUCUAUCCCCUAGUCCCUAAUUCCGCCUCUGUAUAUUAUAUAUUAUACGUUCAUCGAUUGAUUAUUAAUUAUGUGAAUAAAUUCGAAGAGAUACAAUAAAUGAGAUUAUUUAUAAUUUUUAUCAAUUAUACCUAUUGAUAAAAUU
RNAcentral lists this long non-coding RNA (1255 nucleotides) under Panax ginseng (ginseng). RNAcentral's name for it is "long non-coding RNA (PGIN_LNC014739)". Lineage: Eukaryota; Viridiplantae; Streptophyta; Magnoliopsida; Apiales; Araliaceae. The record is from RNAcentral.